GCCGAAGUGGCGGAAUUGGCAGACGCGCUGGACUCAAAAUCCAGUGGAGCUUAACACUCCGUGCCGGUUCGACCCCGGCCUUCGGUACAA
RNAcentral lists this transfer RNA (90 nucleotides) under Ignavibacteria bacterium. RNAcentral's name for it is "tRNA-Leu". It matches the Rfam family "tRNA". From Rfam's summary of the family: Transfer RNA (tRNA) molecules are approximately 80 nucleotides in length. Their secondary structure includes four short double-helical elements and three loops (D, anti-codon, and T loops). Lineage: Bacteria; Pseudomonadati; Ignavibacteriota; Ignavibacteria. The record is from RNAcentral.